AGUCUUAUAGUCAAUAAUGAUAUAAAAUUGCAAAUUUUAAGGAAUAUUUUAUAUAUAUUAAGGCUU
This 66-nucleotide transfer RNA is filed under the name Ocinara albicollis. Its description in RNAcentral is "tRNA-Cys". Lineage: Eukaryota; Metazoa; Arthropoda; Insecta; Lepidoptera; Bombycidae. The record is from RNAcentral.